Molecule: ribosomal RNA, 464 nt
Filed under: uncultured bacterium
Lineage: Bacteria
Description: partial 16S ribosomal RNA
Rfam family: Bacterial small subunit ribosomal RNA
Source: RNAcentral
CUACGGGCCGCUGCAGUGGGGAAUAUUGCACAAUGGGCGCAAGCCUGAUGCAGCCAUGCCGCGUGUAUGAAGAAGGCCUUCGGGUUGUAAAGUACUUUCAGCGGGGAGGAAGGGAGUAAAGUUAAUACCUUUGCUCAUUGACGUUACCCGCAGAAGAAGCACCGGCUAACUCCGUGCCAGCAGCCGCGGUAAUACGGAGGGUGCAAGCGUUAAUCGGAAUUACUGGGCGUAAAGCGCACGCAGGCGGGUUGUUAAGUCAGAUGUGAAAUCCCCGGGCUCAACCUGGGAACUGCAUCUGAUACUGGCAAGCUUGAGUCUCGUAGAGGGGGGUAGAAUUCCAGGUGUAGCGGUGAGAUGCGUAGAGAUCUGGAGGAAUACCGGUGGCGAAGGCGGCCCCCUGGACGAAGACUGACGCUCAGGUGCGAAAGCGUGGGGAGCAAACAGGAUUAGAUACCCUAGUAGUC